GGUUGUGGCUCAGUGGUAGAGCACUUGCCUAGUAUGCGUGAGGCACUGGGUUCAAUCCCUGGCACCA
This 67-nucleotide transfer RNA is filed under the name Marmota monax (woodchuck). Its description in RNAcentral is "tRNA.Thr". It matches the Rfam family "tRNA". From Rfam's summary of the family: Transfer RNA (tRNA) molecules are approximately 80 nucleotides in length. Their secondary structure includes four short double-helical elements and three loops (D, anti-codon, and T loops). The record is from RNAcentral. Lineage: Eukaryota; Metazoa; Chordata; Mammalia; Rodentia; Sciuridae.